This 73-nucleotide transfer RNA is filed under the name Myotis lucifugus (little brown bat). It matches the Rfam family "tRNA". Rfam says of the family: Transfer RNA (tRNA) molecules are approximately 80 nucleotides in length. Their secondary structure includes four short double-helical elements and three loops (D, anti-codon, and T loops). Lineage: Eukaryota; Metazoa; Chordata; Mammalia; Chiroptera; Vespertilionidae. The record is from Rfam by way of RNAcentral.
GACCAGAUAGCUCAGUUGGUUAGAGCAUCGUCCCGAUAUGCCAAGGUUGCGGGUUUGAUCCCCACUCAGGGCA